This 1701-nucleotide long non-coding RNA is filed under the name Ananas comosus (pineapple). RNAcentral's name for it is "long non-coding RNA (ACOM_LNC021328)". The record is from RNAcentral. Lineage: Eukaryota; Viridiplantae; Streptophyta; Magnoliopsida; Poales; Bromeliaceae.
AAAUUCAAAUUUAAAUUCUACAUUUUAAAUUUAAAUAAAAAUAAAAUUUAAAAUUUAAAAUUUAAAAUAUAAAGUCACAAAUUUGAAUUUAAGAAUUUUAUGUUGAAUUUAAAUUUACAAAUAAAAUCCAUAAUGUGAUCAUGACAUUAAUCCAAAUUUAAGAUGAAAUUUAACAUUAAAAAUAAAUUCAAAGAUUAAAGUUAAGACUAAAUAUAAUCUCUUAUCAAAGCUCUCCACUUUCAUAGACUUUUAUAAAGUGACCUUUAUAUUUAUUUUCACAAAUCAAAAAACUGAUAAGAUGUCACUUUUCAAAAGUGUCACUUUCGGUGCUUCACUUUCGGCCAACCGAACAUACCCUAAUAGAUAAUAACUAAAUAUAUUAAUUAGAUUAACUAAUAAUUCAAUACCAUAAUUAAAAUUAGAGUUAGGCUUUAAUUAAGCUUAUUCUCAAUUGAAAAUAAGCUUGUUUCAGUUAGGGGCCUGGAAGAGCUGUUUCAAGACUACAAAUUUAUUCCCGGCUGCGUUUGGUUGGGAAACAAGCGGCGGAUAAGCUCUUGUUGCCCCUUUCGUUCCCAAAUGCUGCGUUUGGUACUCGAUAACAGUAGUUUUUGAAUUUUUGGAAUAAACUGGUAUAAGGCUGGAACUACUGUUCUACCCUUUUUCUAGAACAAGCUUGUUCCCAGAUAGAAACGAGGUUAAUUAAAGUCUAAAUUUUAUUUUAAUUAUGAUAUUUAAUUAUUAAUUAAUAUAAUUAAUAUAUUUAAAUUAUUAUUUAUUGCUUAAAUAUUAAAAUAAUUAAUUAAUUUAUUAUUUAUAAUUAAUUAUUAAUAACUUAAUGUAUUUAUCCAUAAACUAAUAUUUAUAUUGAGCAAUAAUUAAUAUUUUUAGGGAAAACUUCAAAUACCAUCCCUGUGAUUUCGCACUUUCUCACUUUAGUACUCUGUGGUUUAAAGUUUAUCAAGUUAGUACCCUGUGGUUUUGCACUUUCUUAAUUUAAUACCCUAUGAUUUCAAGUGUAUCAAGUUAGUACCAUGUGAUUUCAAUUUUGUAUCAAGUAAGUACCCUUCGGUUUCAAUUUUCUCUUUUUAUUAUCCAUUUCGGGGUAUAUAAUUUAACGAAAUAUUAAACCACAUAGUACUAAAGUGAGAAAGUGCGAAACCACAGGGUACUAACUUGAUACACUUGAAAUCACAGGGUACUAAAGUGAGAAAGUGCGAAACCACAGGAUACUAAUUUGAUACACUUUAAACCAUAGGAUACUAAUUAAGUAAGAAAGUGCGAAACUACGGGGGGUAUUUGAAGUUUCCCCAUAUUUUUAUUAAUCUAAUUAAUUUUUUUUUACUAGUUAUCUAGCUAAAAUAAUUUACUAACUAAUUAAAAAGUUAAAUUAUUUUUAUAUUUAUAAUAAAUAUAUUUUUAUUAUCUUAUACAACAUUCAUAGCUAAUAAAUUUAUUAAUUUAUUAAAUUAUUUUUAAAUAAUAUUUUUAUGUAAUUAAUUUGUAAUACACUGAACUUUUGCAAUUUGCGGAGUUCGAGUGUGUGGAAUGAUAUGCGGAACCUUCCUACAUAUUCUAAAGGGGUUUAAAGAUGUUUAUGAAUAAGUUUGAGAGUGAUCGGAUUGUCGGAGAUAAGAAAGUGCAUUGCUCCUACGAAUUGGGCCAUUUUUGCAUUGUGUACCGGUACAGGCAUUACGUUGUACC